UGGGGAAUAUUGGACAAUGGGGGGAACCCUGAUCCAGCCAUGCCGCGUGUGUGAAGAAGGCCUGAUGGUUGUAAAGCACUUUAAGCGAGGAGGAGGGUACUGGUAUUAAUACUACCAGCUACUGGACGUUACUCGCAGAAUAAGCACCGGCUAACUCUGUGCCAGCAGCCGCGGUAAUACAGAGGGUGCGAGCGUUAAUCGGAUUUACUGGGCGUAUAGCGUGCGUAGGCGGCUAAUUGAGUCGGAUGUGAAAUCACCGAGCUUAACUUGGGAAUUGCAUUCGAUACUGGUUAGCUAGAGUGUGGGAGAGGAUGGUAGAAUUCCAGGUGUAGCGGUGAAAUGCGUAGAGAUCUGGAGGAAUACCGAUGGCGAAGGCAGCCAUCUGGCCUAACACUGACGCUGAGGUACGAAAGAAUGGGUAGCAAACAGG
Molecule: ribosomal RNA, 430 nt
Filed under: Pseudomonadota bacterium
Lineage: Bacteria; Pseudomonadati; Pseudomonadota
Description: Proteobacteria bacterium partial 16S ribosomal RNA
Rfam family: Bacterial small subunit ribosomal RNA
Source: RNAcentral